Pundamilia nyererei is the source of this 535-nucleotide non-coding RNA. The record is from the annotation of a RefSeq genome assembly. NCBI's taxonomy places the organism in Eukaryota, Metazoa, Chordata, Actinopteri, Cichliformes, Cichlidae.
CUCUGAAAAGAUGCAUCUCUGUAUCAUCCUCUGUGGGAUAUUUCAUCUGUCAGCUGUGAUCCAGUCAGCUACAGUCAAGCAGGAGACUGGGGUGAGAUUUGCUGCUGUUGGGGACAACGUGACUUUGCGUUGCUUUUAUGAAAGCCAAGUGGCGAUGCACUUCUCCUGGUACCGACAAUUCUUAGGAAGCCAACCUAAGCGCCUCUCUACAAUUUACAAAUAUGAUAAGCCAUCUGAAGUCAUCCACACAUUGGAGAAGAACCCUCGUUUCUCUGUGGAAAGAAAGGAAGGGACCAAUCAUCUACAAAUCUCUGGUGUCCGCCUCUCAGAUUCAGCUACAUACUACUGCGGGAGCUCUCACUCCAACAUGGUGGAAUUUGGAGAAGGGAUCUUUCUGAGUGUUCGAGCGUUCCCGUGCUUAGACUCUAGGGCCGAUGGGCCAGAUCCCCCCAGUCACUCCCUCCAGCUCUUCCAAGGGGACACUGGGGCCUUCACAAACCAACUUUCCAUUGAGUCGUUGGUCUGCCUUGUCUGA